GGGGUAAAUAGGAAGUUAGAGUUAUGGAGACAAACCUUGGAAUCGAAAGGGUUUAGGCUUAGUAGAACUAAAACCGAGUACAUGAUGUGCGGUUUCAGUACUACUAGCUGUGAGGAGGAGGAGGUUAGCCUUGAUGGCCAGGUGGUACCUCGGAAGGACACCUUUCGGUAUUUGGGGUCAAUGUUGCAGGAGGAUGGGGGUAUUGAUGAAGAUGUGAACCAUCGAAUCAAAGCCGGAUGGAUGAAGUGGCGCCAAGCUUCUAGCAUUCUCUGUGACAAGAGAGUGCCACAAAAGCUAAAAGGCAAGUUCUAG
Molecule: ribosomal RNA, 312 nt
Filed under: Triticum aestivum (bread wheat)
Lineage: Eukaryota; Viridiplantae; Streptophyta; Magnoliopsida; Poales; Poaceae
Description: partial small subunit ribosomal RNA
Source: RNAcentral